Molecule: transfer RNA, 71 nt
Organism: Salpingoeca sp.
Lineage: Eukaryota; Choanoflagellata; Craspedida; Salpingoecidae
Rfam family: tRNA
About the family: Transfer RNA (tRNA) molecules are approximately 80 nucleotides in length.
Source: Rfam
GCCGCGGUGGUGUAAUGGUAACACUACGCGUUGUGGUCGCGUUACUCCCGGUUCGAUUCCGGGCCGUGGCA